Odocoileus virginianus texanus is the source of this 826-nucleotide non-coding RNA. Lineage: Eukaryota; Metazoa; Chordata; Mammalia; Artiodactyla; Cervidae. The record is from RefSeq and is a predicted model, not a curated record.
GGAUCUUCCCCGCCCAGGGACUGAACCGGGGUCUCCUGCGUUGCAGGCAGCUUCUUAACCAGCUGAGCCACCCGGGUGCUACUCCUCGAUCACCUCAGCGAGUCCCAGCACCCGCCUGCAAGGUACUCGGGAUGUCCCUGUGACAAACUGCAGUAACCGGAUGCGCUUCUCGGCGUCCAUCAGCAGCACAGCCUGCAGACGGAGACAGAGGUCACCAUGCGCCACUGGACACGCAACGCAGACCGGCAAACCGUCAUCCCGCGUGCACUGCGGUGGAAGUCCUAGACGGUCUUACACCCGGACAGGACCUGCUAUCUCACUUCUCUCCUAAAAUGAACAGGAUACAAACACUGGCCUUUAGAGAGUGAAUCAGAUUUCAUUUGCAUCUCUGAUUGAAAGAUGUAAAGAUCAAAAUGGUUGUUGUAAUUCACAAAAAAAAUUGAGAAAAUGGUUUUUUAAACCAAAAUGGCAUCUUGGAAAAGCCAGCCCCAAAGCGUGUAUUUGUCCUGAGAAGCCUUUCAUUCUUAUUCACACUCUGGAGGACUCGUUCAAAUUCUUGAAUCCAGCUAUCUGCUUUUUAGGGUCAUCCUACUCAACGGUUUCCUUAAACAAAAGCACUUGAGUAAGUGACCGAGGAAGACAGUGUGGCUUACUCAGGACAAGUGAGGGCAGGCGCCCACCACGGUCACAGAGAAGCAGCGGGAAGGGCUCCGUCGGGCUCAGCAGGCCUCUCCCCUCCCCAGCAGGCCACGGACCAGAAGGGCCCCAAACCCAGCAGCGGACCUUGGAAGGCAGUACAGGCCCUGGGCCCCAGACCUACCUUCCA